Non-coding RNA from Echinops telfairi (small Madagascar hedgehog), 73 nucleotides. NCBI's taxonomy places the organism in Eukaryota, Metazoa, Chordata, Mammalia, Afrosoricida, Tenrecidae. The record is from the annotation of a RefSeq genome assembly.
GUUUUUGUAGUGUAGUGGUUAUCACGUUCACCUAACAUGCGAAAGGUCCCUGGUUUGAGACCGGGUGGAAACA